This 253-nucleotide ribosomal RNA is filed under the name uncultured bacterium. RNAcentral describes it as "partial 16S ribosomal RNA". It matches the Rfam family "Bacterial small subunit ribosomal RNA", at positions 524 to 776 of the family's 1533-position model. The record is from RNAcentral.
UACGGAGGGAGCUAGCGUUGUUCGGAAUUACUGGGCGUAAAGGGCUUGUAGGUGGCCAACUAAGUCAGACGUGAAAUCCCUCGGCUUAACCGGGGAACUGCGUCUGAUACUGGAUGGCUAGAGUGUGGGAGAGGGGUGCGGAAUUCCCGGUGUAGCGGUGGAAUGCGUAGAGAUCGGGAAGAACAUCGGUGGCGAAGGCGGUCUGCUGGGCCGUUGCUGACGCUGAGGCGCGACAGCGUGGGGAGCAAACAGG